Molecule: ribosomal RNA, 438 nt
Filed under: Triticum aestivum (bread wheat)
Lineage: Eukaryota; Viridiplantae; Streptophyta; Magnoliopsida; Poales; Poaceae
Description: partial small subunit ribosomal RNA
Source: RNAcentral
CAUGACUCAAAUGAUGAAGAGGUCGUUGGCAUCAUGAAGAAUAUGCUUUUCAAUAUCAUUCACGGCGUUCCCGUCAAAUUUCAUGAUUUCUUCUUGAGGACUCUGGCGAAUAUUUCUAUGUCACCAUUUGAGCUGAAGCCUUAUGCACCAUGGAUUAUGAGAUUCAUCAGGACAAGGGCUUCACUAAAUUACAAAGCUGACACUUUGAACCAUGGCGGCUACUUGCCUCCGAUUGAAGUCCUCAAACGGACAUAUUCCUCAGCUGAUGACAAAGGCAAGGCAACUGUUGUGAUAGAUGAAGGCAUUCGUCCAUUGGAUGGUCAAUUUCGCAAGGCUGCAUCCUACUCCACCAAUGAUGACUCUGCCACACAUGACUCUGCCGCCAAGCAAAAUCCUCAAGCCACAACACCCAGGGUGAUGACUGAUCGUGAGUUACUC